RNAcentral lists this long non-coding RNA (444 nucleotides) under Olea europaea subsp. europaea. Lineage: Eukaryota; Viridiplantae; Streptophyta; Magnoliopsida; Lamiales; Oleaceae. The record is from RNAcentral.
CUUGAUUCCUUCAACAUUGUCCUGGAUUGAAGCAAAUUCUUCUUGGAACGCUAGCACAGCAUUUGUUGAGAAGUGGUAUUAUGCACUAUAAUGUACAGACCAUGGACGUAAAGGACUUGCCUUUUCAUGUCAAAUAAUGAAAAUUCGAUAUAUAACAUGCGACGGAAAGCAAAACCGGAACAAGUUAGAUCGCCCUCUUCCUCAGAACAUCCAUUCUUUCCGAUACUUCCUCUGCAAUCGUCUCGAGCUUUGGUGCAUUAGAAGGUUUUUUAGGAGAAAUCAUAGGAGAUGGUGCAACCUCAACCCAAUGGUUCACGUACCUUAUUGGUUUUCCCAUAAUCACCUCUGACACACACAAAAAAAAAAAAAAAUAAAAUAAAAUAAAAAAUUUGCUUUUUCUUGGCCUAGUUUUUCUUCCUUGAGAGGCCUUUGAGAGAGAUUUCU